AACGAACGCUGGCGGCAUGCCUAACACAUGCAAGUCGAACGAGACCUUCGGGUCUAGUGGCGCACGGGUGCGUAACGCGUGGGAACCUGCCCUUAGGUUCGGAAUAACUCCCCGAAAGGGGUGCUAAGACCGGAUAAUGUCUUCGGACCAAAGAUUUAUCGCCUUUGGAUGGGCCCGCGUUGGAUUAGCUAGGUGGUAGGGUAAAAGCCUACCAAGGCGACGAUCCAUAGCUGGUCUGAGAGGAUGAUCAGCCACACUGGGACUGAGACACGGCCCAGACUCCUACGGGAGGCAGCAGUGGGGAAUAUUGGAGAAUGGGCGAAAGCCUGAUCCAGCAAUGCCGCGUGAGUGAUGAAGGCCUUAGGGUUGUAAAGCUCUUUUACCCGGGAUGAUAAUGACAGUACCGGGAGAAUAAGCUCCGGCUAACUCCGUG
Molecule: ribosomal RNA, 433 nt
Filed under: uncultured bacterium
Lineage: Bacteria
Description: partial 16S ribosomal RNA
Rfam family: Bacterial small subunit ribosomal RNA
Source: RNAcentral